ACGAUGCCGAAAAUGAAGAAGACGAAGAAGCACAGCAGAAGGACGUUCCCGAGCAUGGGCAGCGUAUCCAGCAGCAGAGUGACCAGGAUCCGCAUGCCUGUGGGCAGCAGGGCCAGGAUUGGCACUGCUAAGCCCUGCAGGAGUGUCCUCGGGGCUGCAGCCCCUCCCGGGACCCCCGAGCCCCGUCCACUGUUCACAGUGGGUGUCCACGCCCACUGCACACUGACUCGGGCCACCCCCUGGUGAUUUUCCCGCACCCCUAGUGUGAUCGGGACUCCCCUCCUACCACCACCGGCCUCCAGGGACACUGACACCCUGGGGUCUGACGUGCAUCCAGCGGGGCGCCAGGUCUCCACCUCCAACCAUCCCAGGGCAGCAGGUCUGCUGCUUUUGGAGGGCUGGGGUGUGGAGGGGCAGGAGUGGAGGCAGGGGACUGGCCGAGGCAGGGAACUGGCUGCGGCAGGUCUGACCACGUGGCAUCUCGGGCUCGGGAUGACCAGGCGGAGCCCAGUGGCCCUCGAGGCUUGUCUGGCGACACCCUGAAGUUGCCACCAAGGCAGCAGGAGCCUUGGGAGCCCCAGAACCUCAGGUGGUGGGCUGCCUCCUGGGGGUCUCUGCAGCAGGUCUGGGAUCCUGAAAACUUUGUCUGAUUCCCAGUGAGAAUCCUGCCAGAACAGAGCCCCAUCUCAGAGAGAGGCUGCUGGAGGCGGUGGGGAGGACCGGCAGCGGCUUUUCAGGAGGUAGCACUGAAGCCAUCGGUCCUGGGUGCUAUGGGCUACGUGAACUCCAGAUUAAUCCAGCAAGUGGGUCAGCCAAGCCCCACGCGCCCCUCGCUCCAUCCUGGGCCUGCUCCCCCAAGACGUCCUUUCCCUCAAAUUUAAUCAAGGGCCAGGCUAAGGCAGCAGGUAAAGCCCUGGGCCAGGAACCUGGGGACGCUGAGUUCUCACCCAGCACCCAGGGGUAUCAAUGGCAAAACGGGCCCCUCAGGUCACAAGGGUGAGUCAGAGCCAGGAGGAGCACUGAAGUGUCAAAAGAGCCGACCGGAGCAGACAAUCAGUGAGCACUGCCCUGGCCAGACCGCAACCGCCUCAAAGAUCACAGAUGACCCAGAGGUCAGAGUGGACCCCUAGCCAACAGAACAGGAUGCAGCCCUGAGCGUGUCCUCAUUAUGAGAAGCGUAUUAUCCAGUCUGGAAGAGUUCCCUAGUUCUCUCCUAGAGACAGGAGCAGAUCCCCAGGAGGCCAGGCUGCUGGCGACAAUUAGGGCCACUCUGGCAAUUUAACCUGAAAAGUAAACAUCCAUGGAAGGAAGGGGCUGUGUGUGCUGGGUUGCUUCACGCUUCAACAGGUGGGGCCAGGCCGGCGUGCAGACUGAACGUACAGUGGGUGCCGGGCAAAGGGCCAAGAGCCACACACGCGUCCCCUCACCGCACGCUCAGCCACCCUUGGGGUCAUGGUUACUCCUGUACUGCACUAUUCCAGGAGAAACUGAGGUUCAGGCUCAGCUAGUUGCUCAGAGUCACACAGUAUUCAAGCCCUAUCUGAGCCACACAGUAGAGCCAAGGCAGGCAGGUGGAAGGCAGGCUCAGGGACCAGCGGCACGAGGAUGACCCACCUGCCCUUCGGGAAGCCAGAGGCCCCAUGGGAAGGAGUGCCUAGCCUUGGGGGUCUGUGACUUUGGGGGGUUGCUGCAGGUCAAGCCCUGAGUGCCAAGGCCACCAGGACCCAGGUCAGGCAGCCAGAAAGGCUGUGUUACACCCGCACGUGCACACACGGGGCCACAUCUACACGCAGUAUGCACUCGCGCCUGGUACGGCCUCGUGGGGGCCGCGCCGACCCCCAGGAACCAGAGCAGUUGAAUGUAGCCCUGAGUGCUUAAAGAACGAUCCCACCCCAUCCCCUGAUGCAGGUGGGUGGCCCGGAUUUGACAGGAUGUUUCCCAAACAAGCAGGCAUAUGACUUCCUGGAAGCUCUUCCUCCGCCUCCCCUCACACCCAGCGCACAGCAGACACACAGCAGCUCCUCUCCACCAGGCCCCCUCCUCACACCUGCUGGCCAAAUCCUGAAGGAUUUCCAGCCUUCCUUCUAGAAAAUCAGCUGCUCAGCAGGGGACACGGAGGCCCAGCCCUGGCCAGCCAACUUCCCCUUUCCUUAGGUGGGGAUCCUGGCAGGAGAGUAGGGGCCAGAAGCAGUGGCGGGUGGGGAGAGCGAGGUGUCCUCAGGACAGGUGUCAGGCUCUCCCCUCACUUGUGUGGGUGUGAAGGCGGGGCUUCACAGAGCCCCCAGGUGAGCUGAGCCACACCCACAAGAGUGUCUCCACCACGAGCCACACCAGGAUGCGCCAGACAGCAAAGCCACCAGGGAUCUGCUCGGCCUCCAGCCUUGCCCCAGAUGCCAUGCAGAGAAGGAACCGGAGCCCCAAGGCCACCAUCUUGAUGACCAUCUCCACCGCAAAAAAGGCGAAAAUGAAGGCGUCAAAGGCCUGCGGGAGGAGGCAUCAGGAGGGAUGUUGCAGCGCUCGGAGCCGCACUCAACGUCCUCACAGGGCCGGAACAUGCCCAGGGUCACGCAGUUGAGCAUGAUUACCAGCAUGCUCACGUGCUCGAACCAUGUGUCGCCGCGGGUUAAGGAGCACACCGGCGCGGCCCGGGACCCGCUCCCAUGGGGCCCUCCAAAUGCCCACCCGGCCUGGACGGUGGCACAACUCGGGGCAGACUUUCCAGGGCCCCUGUCCCAGGGCUGCGCGGCCCCACCCUGACCAGGGAACCAGAGGAAGGAGGGAGAGGCAAUCCGUCAGCUGACUGUGGACCCAGGAGGGACCUUCCUUAAGGUAGAAGCCGGCAUUUGGAAAGCACCAACUUGUCAGCGAACAGCCUUGGGAAGUCAGGCACCAGCUCUGACAGUCCCUGCCGUCACCAACACGUGGGAACCGAGGAGGAGACAGAGCUGGGCAUCCUCUCACAGCUGAUUCAGGGGCAGCCCGGUGGCCGCCCCCACCCCUGGCUCUGGACUUGGGCCUGUGCUUGACUCUCGGGGGCCGCCCUUCCCAGCACCCACCUGGCGCAGACCACAGGCCUCAGCGCCCACGGCUCCCCCUCACCCCUGGCAGGCCUGCUUGGGACCCGGAUGAUGGUGGCAGCAGCGCCCCCUGCCCAACACGGGCCACGCUCACUACAGCGGAGGUCCUGGGUGCUGCGUGCAGCACUGGGGUCAGGGUCUGAGUGUCUCAAACUCUCAGGGAUCACAGGAAGGGCAGCUGCCACGGUAGGAGGGGAACAGGCUUGGUGACGAGGGCCUUCCCUGCCCCCACCUGUCACUCCAGCCUGGAGCCCCUCCCCCAGGGACCCCAGCAGCUCAUCCUGGAACCCUCCCUCCCACCAAGCCAGGGCCCAGCCUCCUAGCAGGUCAGCAUUUGAUGCCAGUGCCACGGCUCCAGGCCACCAAUGUAAUUACAUAUUCCCACCAAGAGUGCGGUAAUUACACUUAAUGGGUUCAGCGGUAACAGGCGCCUCUGCUGUAACACUGC
Molecule: long non-coding RNA, 3525 nt
Filed under: Homo sapiens (human)
Lineage: Eukaryota; Metazoa; Chordata; Mammalia; Primates; Hominidae
Description: HSALNT0226375
Source: RNAcentral